CCUGGCUCACGUUGAACGCUAGCUACAGGCUUAACACAUGCAAGUCGAGGGGCAGCAUGGUCUUAGCUUGCUAAGACUGAUGGCGACCGGCGCACGGGUGAGUAACACGUAUCCAACCUGCCGUCUACUCUUGGACAGCCUUCUGAAAGGAAGAUUAAUACAAGAUGGCAUCAUGAGUCCGCAUGUUCACAUGAUUAAAGGUAUUCCGGUAGACGAUGGGGAUGCGUUCCAUUAGAUAGUAGGCGGGGUAACGGCCCACCUAGUCUUCGAUGGAUAGGGGUUCUGAGAGGAAGGUCCCCCACAUUGGAACUGAGACACGGUCCAAACUCCUACGGGAGGCAGCAGUGAGGAAUAUUGGUCAAUGGGCGAGAGCCUGAACCAGCCAAGUAGCGUGAAGGAUGACUGCCCUAUGGGUUGUAAACUUCUUUUAUAAAGGAAUAAAGUCGGGUAUGGAUACCCGUUUGCAUGUACUUUAUGAAUAAGGAUCGGCUAACUCCGUGCCAGCAGCCGCGGUAAUACGGAGGAUCCGAGCGUUAUCCGGAUUUAUUGGGUUUAAAGGGAGCGUAGAUGGAUGUUUAAGUCAGUUGUGAAAGUUUGCGGCUCAACCGUAAAAUUGCAGUUGAUACUGGAUAUCUUGAGUGCAGUUGAGGCAGGCGGAAUUCGUGGUGUAGCGGUGAAAUGCUUAGAUAUCACGAAGAACUCCGAUUGCGAAGGCAGCCUGCUAAGCUGCAACUGACAUUGAGGCUCGAAAGUGUGGGUAUCAAACAGGAUUAGAUACCCUGGUAGUCCACACGGUAAACGAUGAAUACUCGCUGUUUGCGAUAUACAGCAAGCGGCCAAGCGAAAGCGUUAAGUAUUCCACCUGGGGAGUACGCCGGCAACGGUGAAACUCAAAGGAAUUGACGGGGGCCCGCACAAGCGGAGGAACAUGUGGUUUAAUUCGAUGAUACGCGAGGAACCUUACCCGGGCUUAAAUUGCAGAUGAAUUACGGUGAAAGCCGUAAGCCGCAAGGCAUCUGUGAAGGUGCUGCAUGGUUGUCGUCAGCUCGUGCCGUGAGGUGUCGGCUUAAGUGCCAUAACGAGCGCAACCCUUGUUGUCAGUUACUAACAGGUUCCGCUGAGGACUCUGACAAGACUGCCAUCGUAAGAUGUGAGGAAGGUGGGGAUGACGUCAAAUCAGCACGGCCCUUACGUCCGGGGCUACACACGUGUUACAAUGGGGGGUACAGAGGGCCGCUACCACGCGAGUGGAUGCCAAUCCCAAAAACCUCUCUCAGUUCGGACUGGAGUCUGCAACCCGACUCCACGAAGCUGGAUUCGCUAGUAAUCGCGCAUCAGCCACGGCGCGGUGAAUACGUUCCCGGGCCUUGUACACACCGCCC
Molecule: ribosomal RNA, 1382 nt
Filed under: uncultured bacterium
Lineage: Bacteria
Description: bacterial SSU rRNA
Rfam family: Bacterial small subunit ribosomal RNA
Source: RNAcentral